RNAcentral lists this ribosomal RNA (370 nucleotides) under uncultured bacterium. Its description in RNAcentral is "bacterial SSU rRNA". It matches the Rfam family "Bacterial small subunit ribosomal RNA", at positions 527 to 896 of the family's 1533-position model. The record is from RNAcentral.
GUACGAGGCGAGCGUUAUCCGGAAUUACUGGGCGUAAAGCGCGCGCAGGCGGAUAUGUAAGUUGGGCGUGAAAUCUCCCGGCCUAACUGGAGGGGUCGCCCAAGACUGCAUGUCUUGAGGCUGGCAGAGGUAGGUGGAAUUCCUGGUGUAGUGGUGAAAUGCGUAGAGAUCAGGAGGAACACCGGUGGCGAAGGCGGCCUACUGGGCCAGCUCUGACGCUGAGGCGCGAAAGCUCGGGGAGCGAACGGGAUUAGAUACCCCGGUAGUCCGAGCCGUAAACGAUGGGUACUAGGUGUUCGUGGUAUCGACCCCACGGGUGCCGGAGCUAACGCGAUAAGUACCCCGCCUGGGGAGUACGGCCGCAAGGUUA